AGAGUUUGAUCCUGGCUCAGGACGAACGCUGGCGGCGUGCCUAACACAUGCAAGUCGAGCGAAGAUACAAAGUAGUUUACUAUGAUGUAUCUUAGCGGCGGACGGGUGAGUAACGCGUGGGCAACCUGCCUUACAGAGGGGGAUAACAGUGCGAAAGCACUGCUAAUACCGCAUGACAUUGUCUUAUCGCAUGAUGAGAC
Molecule: ribosomal RNA, 200 nt
Filed under: uncultured bacterium
Lineage: Bacteria
Description: partial 16S ribosomal RNA
Rfam family: Bacterial small subunit ribosomal RNA
Source: RNAcentral